This 292-nucleotide ribosomal RNA is filed under the name uncultured bacterium. RNAcentral describes it as "partial 16S ribosomal RNA". It matches the Rfam family "Bacterial small subunit ribosomal RNA", at positions 505 to 796 of the family's 1533-position model. The record is from RNAcentral.
GUGUCAGCAGCCGCGGUAAUACAGAGGGUGCGAGCGUUGUCCGGAAUCACUGGGCGUAAAGGGCGCGUAGGUGGCGCGACAAGUCCGUGGUGAAAGCUCGAUGCUUAACAUCGAGUCGGCCACGGAUACUGUUGGGCUUGAGCACUGUAGAGGCUAAUGGAAUUCCGGGUGUAGCGGUGGAAUGCGUAGAGAUCCGGAAGAACACCGGUGGCGAAGGCGGUUAGCUGGGCAGUUGCUGACACUGAGGCGCGACAGCGUGGGGAGCAAACAGGAUUAGAUACCCCCGUAGUCC